UGGGGAAUUUUGGACAAUGGGGGAAACCCUGAUCCAGCCAUUCCGCGUGAGUGAAGAAGGCCUUCGGGUUGUAAAGCUCUUUCGGCAGGAACGAAACGGUUUGGGCUAAUACCCCAGACUACUGACGGUACCUGAAGAAGAAGCACCGGCUAACUACGUGCCAGCAGCCGCGGUAAUACGUAGGGUGCGAGCGUUAAUCGGAUUUACUGGGCGUAAAGCAUGCGCAGGCGGCGGUUCAAGUCAGGUGUGAAAUCCCCGAGCUUAACUUGGGAAUUGCGCUUGAAACUAGAUCGCUAGAGUACGGCAGAGGGGGGUAGAAUUCCACGUGUAGCAGUGAAAUGCGUAGAGAUGUGGAGGAACACCGAUGGCGAAGGCAGCCCCCUGGGCCUGUACUGACGCUCAUGCAUGAAAGCGUGGGGAGCAAACAGGAUUAGAUACCCAAGUAGUCCCUGAGCGGGCUGGCAAGGCGCAU
Molecule: ribosomal RNA, 472 nt
Filed under: uncultured bacterium
Lineage: Bacteria
Description: bacterial SSU rRNA
Rfam family: Bacterial small subunit ribosomal RNA
Source: RNAcentral